This 440-nucleotide ribosomal RNA is filed under the name uncultured bacterium. RNAcentral describes it as "partial 16S ribosomal RNA". It matches the Rfam family "Bacterial small subunit ribosomal RNA", at positions 338 to 795 of the family's 1533-position model. The record is from RNAcentral.
CCUACGGGAGGCAGCAGGGGGGAAUAUUGCACAAUGGGGGAAACCCUGAUGCAGCGACGCCGCGUGAGUGAAGAAGUAUUUCGGUACGUAAAGCUCUAUCAGCAGGGAAGAAAAUGACGGUACCUGACUAAGAAGCCCCGGCUAACUACGUGCCAGCAGCCGCGGUAAUACGUAGGGGGCAAGCGUUAUCCGGAUUUACUGGGUGUAAAGGGAGCGUAGACGGCAGCGCAAGUCUGGAGUGAAAUCCCAUGGCUUAACCAUGGAACUGCUUUGGAAACUGUGCAGCUAGAGUGCAGGAGAGGUAAGCGGAAGUCCUAGUGUAGCGGUGAAAUGCGUAGAUAUUAGGAGGAACACCAGUGGCGAAGACGGCUUACUGGACUGUAACUGACGUUGAGGCUCGAAAGCGUGGGGAGCAAACAGGAUUAGAUACCCGGGUAGUC